RNAcentral lists this ribosomal RNA (518 nucleotides) under uncultured bacterium. RNAcentral's name for it is "partial 16S ribosomal RNA". The record is from RNAcentral.
AGCGACUGUGCAGGUUACCGCGGCUGCUGGCACGGAGUUAGCCGGUGCUUCUUCUGUGAGUGAUGUCCUUCCUGCCGGUUAUUGACCCGCAGGCCUUCUUCCUCACUGAAAGUGCUUUACAACCCGAAGGCCUUCUUCACACACGCGGCAUGGCUGGAUCAGGGUUGCCCCCAUUGUCCAAUAUUCCCCACUGCUGCCUCCCGUAGGAGUCUGGGCCGUGUCUCAGUCCCAGUGUGGCUGAUCAUCCUCUCAGACCAGCUACGGAUCGUCGCCUUGGUGAGCCGUUACCUCACCAACCAGCUAAUCCGACAUAGGCUCAUCCGAUAGCGCGAGGCCCGAAGGUCCCCCGCUUUCCCCCGUAGGGCGUAUGCGGUAUUAGCCUGGGUUUCCCCAGGUUAUCCCCCACUACCGGGCAGAUUCCUAUGCAUUACUCACCCGUCCGCCGCUCGCCACCAGGGAGCAAGCUCCCCGUGCUGCCGCUCGACUUGCAUGUGUUAGGCCUGCCGCCAGCGUUCAAU